RNAcentral lists this ribosomal RNA (513 nucleotides) under uncultured bacterium. Its description in RNAcentral is "bacterial SSU rRNA". It matches the Rfam family "Bacterial small subunit ribosomal RNA", at positions 24 to 518 of the family's 1533-position model. The record is from RNAcentral.
UCAGAACGAACGCUGGUAGCGUGGAUUAGGCAUGCAAGUCGAACGGGAUCCGGAAGGCAGCAAUGUCGGCCGGUGAGAGUGGCGGAAGGGCGAGGAACACGUGGGCAACCUGUCUUUGAGGUGGGGAAAACCUCGGGAAACUGAGGCUAAUACCGAAUGUGGCGCAGAAGGGCAUCCUUCCUGCGCUAAAGGGGGCGAAAGCUCCCCCUCUUCGAGGGGCUCGCGCACCAUCAGCUAGUUGGCGGGUAACGGCCCACCAAGGCUCACGGUUAGCUGGUCUGAGAGGAUGGCCAGCCGCACUGGGACUGAGAUACUGCCCAGACUCCUACGGGAGGCUGCAGUCGAGGAUCAUUCGCAAUGGGCGAAAGCCUGACGAUGCGACGCUGCGUGGAGGAAUGAAGGCCUUCGGGUUGUAAACUCCUGUCAUGAGGGAAAAGGAGACCCUGCCCAAUACGUAGGGGAUUUGAUGGUACCUCAAGAGGAAGGGACGGCUAACUCUGUGCCAGCAGCGGC